GCAGUCGAACGGCAGCACGGGCUUCGGCCUGGUGGCGAGUGGCGAACGGGUGAGUAAUGCAUCGGAACGUGCCCAUGUCGUGGGGGAUAACGUAGCGAAAGCUACGCUAAUACCGCAUACGCCCUGAGGGGGAAAGCGGGGGAUUCUUCGGAACCUCGCGCGAUUGGAGCGGCCGAUGUCGGAUUAGCUAGUAGGUGAGGUAAAGGCUCACCUAGGCGACGAUCCGUAGCGGGUCUGAGAGGAUGAUCCGCCACACUGGGACUGAGACACGGCCCAGACUCCUACGGGAGGCAGCAGUGGGGAAUUUUGGACAAUGGGGGCAACCCUGAUCCAGCCAUGCCGCGUGAGUGAAGAAGGCCUUCGGGUUGUAAAGCUCUUUCGGCCGGGAAGAAAUCGGCGACUCUAACAUAGUCGCUGGAUGACGGUACCGGACUAAGAAGCACCGGCUAACUACGUGCCAGCAGC
This 465-nucleotide ribosomal RNA is filed under the name uncultured bacterium. RNAcentral describes it as "bacterial SSU rRNA". It matches the Rfam family "Bacterial small subunit ribosomal RNA", at positions 57 to 515 of the family's 1533-position model. The record is from RNAcentral.